This 382-nucleotide ribosomal RNA is filed under the name Bathycoccus sp. RNAcentral's name for it is "partial small subunit ribosomal RNA". It matches the Rfam family "Eukaryotic small subunit ribosomal RNA", at positions 582 to 975 of the family's 1831-position model. Lineage: Eukaryota; Viridiplantae; Chlorophyta; Mamiellophyceae; Mamiellales; Bathycoccaceae. The record is from RNAcentral.
AUUCCAGCUCCAAUAGCGUAUAUUUAAGUUGUUGCAGUUAAAAAGCUCGUAGUUGGAUUUUGGUUAAGAGGGCGCGGUCGGCCGUUUGGUCUGUACUGCGUCGUCUUGACUUCCUGAUGAGGACAUGCUCUUGGUUAACGCUGAGACAUGGAGUCAUCGUGGUUACUUUGAAAAAAUUAGAGUGUUCAAAGCGGGCUUACGCUUGAAUAUAUUAGCAUGGAAUAACACUAUAGGACUCCUGUCCUAUCUCGUUGGUCUCGGGAUGGGAGUAAUGAUUAAGAGGAACAGUUGGGGGCAUUCGUAUUUCAUUGUCAGAGGUGAAAUUCUUGGAUUUAUGAAAGACGAACUUCUGCGAAAGCAUUUGCCAAGGAUGUUUUCAUCA